CUAUAGAAUUUUAUAUUAACUUUACCUAGCGGUUAAUGCUGGUUUUUUGUUAAUAUUUGGUUGGGAGGAUUAUUAAAUUUAACAAACUUUAUAUCAUUAUAAACUUUGAUUUAAGAAAAUAUAAUGAUCUUCAAUUUGAAAUAGUUAGAGUAAAUUACCUUAGGGAUAACAGCGUAAUAUUUUUUUAUAGACCUUAUAGAAAAAAAUGGUUGCGACCUCGAUGUUGAAUUAAGAUAAAUUUUAAAUGCAGGAGUUUAAUAAUUAAGUCUGU
This 271-nucleotide ribosomal RNA is filed under the name Lepidotrigona ventralis. RNAcentral describes it as "partial large subunit ribosomal RNA". Lineage: Eukaryota; Metazoa; Arthropoda; Insecta; Hymenoptera; Apidae. The record is from RNAcentral.